UGGGGAAUUUUGGACAAUGGGGGCAACCCUGAUCCAGCCAUUCCGCGUGAGUGAAGAAGGCCUUCGGGUUGUAAAGCUCUUUUGGCAGGGAAGAAACGGUUGUGGUGAAUAUCCACGACUACUGACGGUACCUGCAGAAUAAGCACCGGCUAACUACGUGCCAGCAGCCGCGGUAAUACGUAGGGUGCGAGCGUUAAUCGGAAUUACUGGGCGUAAAGCGUGCGCAGGCGGUUUUAUAAGCCAGAUGUGAAAUCCCCGGGCUUAACCUGGGAAUGGCAUUUGGGACUGUAAGGCUAGAAUCUGGCAGAGGGGGGUAGAAUUCCACGUGUAGCAGUGAAAUGCGUAGAGAUGUGGAGGAAUACCGAUGGCGAAGGCAGCCCCCUGGGCUAAGAUUGACGCUCAUGCACGAAAGCGUGGGGAGCAAACAGGAUUAGAUACCCCCGUAGUCC
This 449-nucleotide ribosomal RNA is filed under the name uncultured bacterium. RNAcentral's name for it is "bacterial SSU rRNA". It matches the Rfam family "Bacterial small subunit ribosomal RNA", at positions 355 to 796 of the family's 1533-position model. The record is from RNAcentral.